GACGAACGUUGGCGGCGUGCUUAACACAUGCAAGUCGAACGGUAAGGCCCUUCGGGGUACACGAGUGGCGAACGGGUGAGUAACACGUGGGUGAUCUGCCCUGCACUUCGGGAUAAGCCUGGGAAACUGGGUCUAAUACCGGAUAGGACUCCUGGCUUCAUGGGUGGGGGUGGAAAGCUUUUGCGGUGUGGGAUGGGCCUGCGGCCUAUCAGCUUGUUGGUGGGGGAAUGGCCUACCAAGGCGACGACGGGUGGCCGGCCUGAGAGGGUGGCCGGUCACACUGGGACUGAUAUACAUCCCAGACUCCUACGGGAGGCAGCAGUGGGGAAUAUUGCACAAUGGGCGCAAGCCUGAUGCAGCGACGCCGCGUGGGGGAUGACGGCCUUCGGGUUGUAAACCUCUUUCAGCUAUGACGAAGCGCAAGUGACGGUAGUAGCAGAAGAAGGACCGGCCAACUACGUGCCAGCCGCCGCAGUAA
Molecule: ribosomal RNA, 478 nt
Filed under: uncultured bacterium
Lineage: Bacteria
Description: partial 16S ribosomal RNA
Rfam family: Bacterial small subunit ribosomal RNA
Source: RNAcentral